Molecule: ribosomal RNA, 383 nt
Filed under: uncultured eukaryote
Lineage: Eukaryota
Description: SSU rRNA
Rfam family: Eukaryotic small subunit ribosomal RNA
Source: RNAcentral
AGCUCCAAUAGCGUAUAUUAAAGUUGUUGCAGUUAAAAAGCUCGUAGUUGGAUUUCUGGCCUGAGCGUCCUGUCCGGCGCUGUGCGUUGUGUACUUGGUGCGACUCGGGCCAUCCUUGCAGGGAAUGUGUCUGGCCUUAGUUGGUCGGGUUCGGGAACUGCAUCGUUUACUGUGAAAAAAUUAGAGUGUUUAAAGCAGGCAUUUGCUGUGAAUACAUUAGCAUGGAAUAAUAAGAUAGGACUUUGGUUCUAUUUUGUUGGUUGGAGGCCAAGGUAAUGAUUAAUAGGGAUAGUUGGGGGUAUUCAUAUUUAAUUGUCAGAGGUGAAAUUCUUGGAUUUAUGAAAGAUGAACUUAUGCGAAAGCAUUUACCAAGGAUGUUUUCA